CACGGGUGAGUACACGUAUCCAACCUGCCGUCUACUCUUGGACAGCCUUCUGAAAGGAAGAUUAAUACAAGAUGGCAUCAUGAGUUCACAUGUUCACAUGAUUAAAGGUAUUCCGGUAGACGAUGGGGAUGCGUUCCAUUAGAUAGUAGGCGGGGUAACGGCCCACCUAGUCUUCGAUGGAUAGGGGUUCUGAGAGGAAGGUCCCCCGCAUUGGAACUGAGACACGGUCCAA
Molecule: ribosomal RNA, 232 nt
Filed under: uncultured bacterium
Lineage: Bacteria
Description: partial 16S ribosomal RNA
Rfam family: Bacterial small subunit ribosomal RNA
Source: RNAcentral